GAUGAACGCUGGCGGCGUGCCUAAUACAUGCAAGUCGAGCGAACAGAUAAGGAGCUUGCUCCUUUGACGUUAGCGGCGGACGGGUGAGUAACACGUGGAUAACCUGCCUAUAAGACUGGGAUAACUUCGGGAAACCGGAGCUAAUACCGGAUAACAUAUUGAACCGCAUGGUUCAAUAGUGAAAGGCGGCUUUGCUGUCACUUAUAGAUGGAUCCGCGCCGUAUUAGCUAGUUGGUAAGGUAACGGCUUACCAAGGCAACGAUACGUAGCCGACCUGAGAGGGUGAUCGGCCACACUGGAACUGAGACACGGUCCAGACUCCUACGGGAGGCAGCAGUAGGGAAUCUUCCGCAAAGGGCGAAAGCCUGACGGAGCAACGCCGCGUGAGUGAUGAAGGUCUUCGGAUCGUAAAACUCUGUUAUCAGGGAAGAACAAAUGUGUAAGUAACUGUGCACAUCUUGACGGUACCUGAUCAGAAAGCCACGGCUAACUACGUG
This 497-nucleotide ribosomal RNA is filed under the name uncultured bacterium. Its description in RNAcentral is "partial 16S ribosomal RNA". It matches the Rfam family "Bacterial small subunit ribosomal RNA", at positions 28 to 507 of the family's 1533-position model. The record is from RNAcentral.